Manis javanica (Malayan pangolin) is the source of this 573-nucleotide long non-coding RNA. RefSeq lists it as uncharacterized. The record is from RefSeq and is a predicted model, not a curated record. NCBI's taxonomy places the organism in Eukaryota, Metazoa, Chordata, Mammalia, Pholidota, Manidae.
UGAGAAUAUCUGGUAGCCCUUUUAUUAUUAUUUAUGAAUUCAUCUGAAAGGAGUAUUGACCUCUAAUUAAAGCCAGAAAAUUACUCCUGGAACAAAUUGCUAAAGGCCAGAAGAAAAAGGCACUAACACAGGAAAGUGAAAGGCACUCGAUGAGGGCUGUGUGUGUCAGCAAGAAAGGUUGUCACAGAUCAUGUGCAGCCCUUCAGGGGACUGAUGCCGCCAAGGGUACCUUCCCAGGUGUGCGCAUGAGAGGACCAGGCAGCCCAGCCAAGCAGGAAGAGCCCACCCCCAGGUCAGCAGUGAAGCCCAGUGGGUUAAGAACCUAAGCCUCUCAGGAGGCCCUGUGGGACGAUACACAGCAGAUACUUGAUGGAGAAACUGCUACCCAGAGAGCAAGAGCAGUGGUAAGAACUCUGGUUUCCACACCUCCUUCCCAACAUCCAUUCCUAACCACCGUUGGUCAUAGAGAAAGACAAGGAUUAGGCCCAGUGUUGAACCUUACUUGUAUAUGAAAAUUAGUUUUCUCACUGACUUGGCUUAAAAAUGGAAUGAUGAAAAAAAAAUCACAUAUUG